RNAcentral lists this ribosomal RNA (460 nucleotides) under uncultured bacterium. RNAcentral's name for it is "partial 16S ribosomal RNA". It matches the Rfam family "Bacterial small subunit ribosomal RNA", at positions 338 to 795 of the family's 1533-position model. The record is from RNAcentral.
CCUACGGGAGGCAGCAGUGAGGAAUAUUGGUCAAUGGACGCGAGCCUGAACCAGCCAAGUCGCGUGAAGGAAGACUGUCCUAUGGGUUGUAAACCUCUUUUAUAGGGGAACAAAAUACGCCACGUGUGGCAUUCCGCGUGUACCCUAUGAAUAAGCAUCGGCUAACUCCGUGCCAGCAGCCGCGGUAAUACGGAAGAUCCGAGCGUUAUCCGGAUUUAUUGGGUUUAAAGGGGGCGUAGGCGGAAAUUUAAGUCAGGCGUGAAAAUUUGGGGCUCAACCUUUACAGUGCGGUGGAAACUGGAAGUCUUGAGUGAGCGAGAGGUAGGCGGAAUUCGUGGUGUAGCGGUGAAAUGCUUAGAUAUCACGAAGAACUCCGAUUGCGAAGGCAGCAUACUGGAGCGCAACUGACGCUGAGGCUCGAAAGUGUGGGUAUCGAACAGGAUUAGAUACCCCUGUAGUC